AUGGGACUGCCGUGCACGGAUGACGACCGUCACUUCUUUGCGGCGGCCACUACAGUCACUAUUGGAAAUGGAAGGACAGCGAUGUUCUGGAACUCAUCUUGGCUAGGAGGAUUGUGCCCCUGUGACAUAGCUCCCGGUCUCUACAACCUCUCUCGCAAGAAAAACUCCUCGGUUCAGCAAGCUAUGGCCAGCAACCAAUGGAUUGCGAAUAUUGACAGCUCCAAUGGCCUCUCCCUUGAACACAUCCAACAGUUUGCUAACCUUUGGGACAAACUAGCAACAGUGGCCCUCGAUGACGACGUUGAAGACUCAAUUAUUUGGAAGUUCACCAAAGAUGGGAUAUAUUCUGCAUCCUCGGCUUACAAGGCUCAAUUUGAAGGCCUCACCACCUCGGACCUUGUCCAUUCGGUGUGGACGGUGUGGGCGCCCCCUCGGUGCAAGUUUUUUGCUUGGCUCGUUCUUCAAGAUAGGAUUUGGACUUCGGACCGCUUGAGCCGCCGUGGUUGGCCUAAUUGCGGUCUAUGCCCUCUUUGCAAGCAAACCCAAGAAACCGCGGCUCAUCUGCUUUUCCAGUGCCGCUACACCAUGCGCAUUUGGAAUGACGUCCUCCCAUGGCUCGGCAUGCAUCACAUCACCACGUCUACCUGGGUGACAAGGGCUUCGGUCAGAGAAUGGUGGAACGCUAACCUGCAGAUCCGUCUCAGCUCGCCCAAGGCGCUCGCCUCCCUCAUGAUGCUCAUCUCUUGGGAGGUUUGGUUGGAGCGCAAUGCUAGAGUCUUCCGCAACUCAGCGGCCCCUUCCAUGACCAUCAUCAGCAAAAUCAAGCAGAAGGUAUCGCUUUGGGCUUUGGCUGGAGCGAAGCAUUUGGGUGGUGUAAUGCCGCGAGAGUAG
RNAcentral lists this ribosomal RNA (891 nucleotides) under Triticum aestivum (bread wheat). RNAcentral describes it as "partial small subunit ribosomal RNA". Lineage: Eukaryota; Viridiplantae; Streptophyta; Magnoliopsida; Poales; Poaceae. The record is from RNAcentral.